RNAcentral lists this transfer RNA (75 nucleotides) under Candidatus Peregrinibacteria bacterium CG10_big_fil_rev_8_21_14_0_10_49_10. RNAcentral's name for it is "tRNA-Asn". It matches the Rfam family "tRNA". Rfam says of the family: Transfer RNA (tRNA) molecules are approximately 80 nucleotides in length. Their secondary structure includes four short double-helical elements and three loops (D, anti-codon, and T loops). Further hydrogen bonds mediate the characteristic L-shaped molecular structure. tRNAs have two regions of fundamental functional importance: the anti-codon, which is responsible for specific mRNA codon recognition, and the 3' end, to which the tRNAs corresponding amino acid is attached (by aminoacyl-tRNA synthetases). tRNAs cope with the degeneracy of the genetic code in two manners: having more than one tRNA (with a specific anti-codon) for a particular amino acid; and 'wobble' base-pairing, i.e. permitting non-standard base-pairing at the 3rd anti-codon position. The record is from RNAcentral. Lineage: Bacteria; Candidatus Peregrinibacteriota.
UCCCGGGUAGCUCAGUGGUAGAGCGAUGCGCUGUUAACGCAUUGGCCGUCGGUUCGAAUCCGACCCCGGGAGCCA